GAUGAAGAACGUAGCGAAAUGCGAUAAGUAAUGUGAAUUGCAGAAUUCAGUGAAUCAUCGAAUCUUUGAACGCGCAUUGCGCCCGCCAGUAUUCUGGCGGGCAUGCCUGUUCGAGCGUCAUUUCAACCAUCAAGCCCCCGGCUUGUGUUGGGGACCUGCGGCUGCCGCAGGCCCUGAAAACCAGUGGCGGGCUCGCUAGUCACUCCGAGCGUAGUAAUACAUCUCGCUCAGGGCGUGCUGCGGGUUCCGGCCGUUAAAAAAGCCUUAUUUACCCAAGGUUGACCUCGGAUCAGGUAGGAAGACCCGCUGAACUUAAGCAUAUCAAUAAGCGGAGGA
Molecule: unclassified non-coding RNA, 336 nt
Filed under: soil metagenome
Description: partial contains 5.8S ribosomal RNA, internal transcribed spacer 2, and large subunit ribosomal RNA
Rfam family: 5.8S ribosomal RNA (bases 1-120)
Source: RNAcentral